UUCGAUUAGAGUUUGAUCAUGGCUCAGGACGCAUUCUGGCGGCGUGCUUAACACAUGCAAGUCGAACGGUGACGAGGAGCUUGCUCCUCUGAUCAGUGGCGAACGGGUGAGUAACACGUGAGUAACCUGCCCCAGACUCUGGGAUAACAGUUGGAAACAGCUGCUAAUACCGGAUACGAGACGGAGAGGCAUCUCUACCGUCUGGAAAGUUUUUCGGUCUGGGAUGGACUCGCGGCCUAUCAGCUUGUUGGUGAGGUAAUGGCUCACCAAGGCGACGACGGGUAGCCGGCCUGAGAGGGCGACCGGCCACACUGGGACUGAGACACGGCCCAGACUCCUACGGGAGGCAGCAGUGGGGAAUAUUGCACAAUGGGCGAAAGCCUGAUGCAGCGACGCCGCGUGAGGGAUGACGGCCUUCGGGUUGUAAACCUCUUUCAGCAGGGAAGAAGCGAAAGUGACGGUACCUGCAGAAGAAGCACCGGCUAACUACGUGCCAGCAGCCGCGGUAAUACGUAGGGUGCGAGCGUUGUCCGGAAUUAUUGGGCGUAAAGAGCUUGUAAGCGGUUUGUCGCGUCUGCAGUGAAAAUCCGAGGCUCAACCUCGGACUUGCUGUGGGUACGGGCAGACUAGAGUAUGGGAGGGGAGACCCGGAUUCCUGGUGUAGCGGUGGAAUGCGCAUAUAUCACGAGGAACACCGAUGGCGAAGGGCAGGUCUCUGGGCCAUAACUGACGCUGAAAAGCGAAAGCAUGGGGAGCGAACAGGAUUAGAUACCCUGGUAGUCCCUGCCGUAAACGU
Molecule: ribosomal RNA, 796 nt
Filed under: uncultured bacterium
Lineage: Bacteria
Description: bacterial SSU rRNA
Rfam family: Bacterial small subunit ribosomal RNA
Source: RNAcentral